Molecule: ribosomal RNA, 3001 nt
Filed under: Trichinella spiralis
Lineage: Eukaryota; Metazoa; Nematoda; Enoplea; Trichinellida; Trichinellidae
Description: eukaryotic LSU rRNA
Rfam family: Eukaryotic large subunit ribosomal RNA
Source: RNAcentral
ACGAAACCAAUUAUUUACAGCACCGUCGGCUUGUCGAAAACUAUGCCUAAGAAACGUUCGAAUAUCCCCUUUAUUGCGCAGUGUCGGCUUAAAACAACUCUUCCUCGCCAACGAUGUUCCACUUCCACUUAAGUUGCGACUUUGUGCCGACAACUGAACGACACUGUUUCGCAGCGUGCAGUACGAAUCGUCCAUUUCAAGUGAAUUAUUCUCUUUUUCAAUGGAUAAAGAAAGCCGAUCGCAUUUGACGGAGCUGUGAACGGUCGACUGACACUGGCUAUCACUAAUAGGCAACGGCUUGUUCAAAUCGACCACCAGCGAAGAAGAAAUGCUUUUCCAAAUGCUCUUGUUGGCAGAUUUUAUUGCAGUUAAAGUGUUGUCCGGGCAUUUCAUCCUUUUACAUUUGGCGAACACUGCAUCAACGUUGUUGUAAUAUUCCAACGAAUCUAUGAACCGUUGAUUCAUAUAUCUGUGAGCAAUGCAAGCUACACAACCGCAACGCAAUUCACCUAUUAAUCUACUAUUUCUACCCAGCUUCAUUUUUGAACGCAAAUUCACGUUCGCUUUUCCUUGUGCAAUGACGAAAUCACAAGCCUUCAAGCAAUGCUUCUCAUUUGCAAUUUCUUCACUUUUGCAAUUCAUCAUUAAACAAGUAGAUUCUUCUUCCAAAUCGCCUUUCUCGUUUCCAAUCUGAAGUGGAGCAAGGUUCCAUGUGAACAGCAGUUGGACAUGGGUCAGUCGAUCCUAAGAAAACGGCGAAAGCUUGUUCGAAUUUGCGACAUGAAUUGUAAGACUGAAUAAUUAUUUGUGUGUGUGUUGUGGUGGAGGCGAUUGUGUCGUCACCAGUUGUUGUUGUGUGCAGUUGUCGUAUGUUUUCGAAAGGGAAUCCGGUUGAUAUUCCGGAACCGAGUAACGGAGACAAAGAGUAGCGCUUUAAUCUCUCUGUGGGGUUGGCGUUCAACUCAAUCGCGCGGUAACGCAAGCGAACUCGGAAAAUGACCGUCGUGAGUUUCGAAAAGAGUUUUCUUUUCUUUUUAAGGGACGCAUUCCCUGGAACCGGGUUGGAAAAUUAUUAUUAUUACCAAAUUUGAAGUUUGCAAUUUUUCGCUUCUUUGCCGCUGAAGAUGAUCUCUGGGACGCUUGAUCAUCCAUAAAUUCCGCCAACAAACCAAACGAACUCUCAGAACAUGCUGGUGACGCCUGGUAAAUCUCGUACUUGGUCGUACUGAUAUCCGCAGCAGGUCUCCAAGGUGAAUAGCCUCUGGCCGAUAGAAUAAUGUAGGUAAGGGAAGUCGGCAAAACGGAUCCGUAACUUCGGAACAAGGAUUGGCUCUAAGGGCUGGGCCGUCACGGUUCACAAAGUUUUUAAUUCUUUCUCUGGAUUUGAUCCCUGAUCUGAUCUUCUCAUCUUCCGGUGCAGUGUAUGCUUGGCUUAGUUGUGUUGAGGACUUGUUCACUUGCCACCGGUUGUUCGGCUGGUCGAGUGUAUUCGAGUCUGAAGCAGAGCUGGCCGACAGACCGGCACGUGCAGAACCUGAGCUGCGCGGCUGUCCGUUUUCGUGUACAGACCGUUUCGGUCGGCAUUCAACAGCCAACUUAGAACUGGCACGGACACAAGGAAUCUGACUGUAUAAUUAAAACAAAGCAUUGCGAUGGCCGAUGAUCGGUGAUGACGCAAUGUGAUUUCUGCCCAGUGCUCUGAAUGUCAAAGUGAAGAAAUUCAAUCAAGCGCGGGUAAACGGCGGGAGUAACUAUGACUCUCUUAAGGUAGCCAAAUGCCUCGUCAUCUAAUUAGUGACGCGUAUGAAUGGAUCAACAAGAUUCCUUCUGUCCCUAUCUACUAUCUAGCGAAACCACAGCCAAGGGAACGGGCUUGGCAAAAUCAGCGGGGAAAGAAGACCCUGUUGAGCUUGACUCUAGUCUGACUCUGUGAAGAGACAUGAAAGGUGUAGCAUAGGUGGGAGAUUGUCAAUUUGCCAUCGUUCACGCGAUGGUCCGGUGAUCGCCAAUGAAAUACCACUACUUUGAUCGUUUCUUUACUUAUUCGGUAAAGCGAAAAAAUUGUGGCCAAUUUGGCGGCGUUUAUGUCGCUGUUGGUCAUUGUUUUCAUGUUGGAUUGAAGCUUUGUUUACAGCCGUCGCUUUGUGUCUUCAUUUGGCGCAUUGUUGUACUGGGUUAUCCCAGUGUGUGAUGUGGUCACAAUGGAUGAUCGGCGAUAGGCUUGAAGUGAUUCGCUCUGAGAUCAUCACUUUUAACAGUGGUCUCUUUAAAUUGAUCACUUUUGUGAACGACUUGCUGUAAAACAUUUGGAACGGUCAGUGUUUCUGUCUUUUGACCUCGGACACAUCUCCUUCUGCAUUCUUGACUGGGGCGGUACAUCUGUUAAACGAUAACGCAGGUGUCCUAAGGUAAGCUCAGCGAGGACAGAAACCUCGCCUAGAGUAAACGGGCACAAGCUUACUUGAUUUUGAUUUCCAGUACGAAUAGAAACCGCGAAAGCGUGGCCUAUCGAUCCUUUUGAUUGUGUAGAUUUCAUGCAAGAGGUGUCAGAAAAGUUACCACAGGGAUAACUGGCUUGUGGCAGCCAAGCGUCCAUAGCGACGUUGCUUUUUGAUCCUUCGAUGUCGGCUCUUCCUAUCAUUGCGAAGCAGAAUUCGCCAAGCGUUGGAUUGUUCACCCACCAAUAGGGAACGUGAGCUGGGAUUAGACCGUCGUGAGACAGGUUAGUUUUACCCUACUGAUGACAAGUCGUUGCGAUAGUAAUCCUGCUCAGUACGAGAGGAACCGCGGGAUCAGACAUUUGGUUCAUGCGCUCGGCUGAAAGGCCGGUGGCGCGAAGCUAGCAUCUGCAAGAUUAUGACUGAACGCCUCUAAGUCAGAAUCUUUUCUAGUCAUUGGCAACGAUAAGUUGCGUCCAGACUCGAUGCGAGGAAACGAUUAGGCUUUGCUGCUAUCCGGCGAAGCCAUUAUCAGACCACGGUAGCAGGCAGUAUGGGAUUGU